RNAcentral lists this ribosomal RNA (519 nucleotides) under uncultured Glomus. RNAcentral's name for it is "SSU rRNA". It matches the Rfam family "Eukaryotic small subunit ribosomal RNA", at positions 569 to 1089 of the family's 1831-position model. Lineage: Eukaryota; Fungi; Glomeromycota; Glomeromycetes; Glomerales; Glomeraceae. The record is from RNAcentral.
AGCAGCCGCGGUAAUUCCAGCUCCAAUAGCGUAUAUUAAAGUUGUUGCAGUUAAAAAGCUCGUAGUUGAAUUUCGGGAUCAGUACGCUGGUCGUGCCUUGUGUAUGGUACUGGUGUUACUGGUUCCUACCUUCUGAAGAACCGUCAUGUCAUUAAUUUGGUGUGGCGGGGAAUCAGGACUGUUACUUUGAAAAAAUUAGAGUGUUUAAAGCAGGCUCGCGCUUGAAUACAUUAGCAUGGAAUAAUGAAAUAGGACGUUUGAUCCUAUUUUGUUGGUUUUCUAGGAUUGACGUAAUGAUUAAUAGGGAUAGUUGGGGGCAUUAGUAUUCAAUUGUCAGAGGUGAAAUUCUUGGAUUUAUUGAAGACUAACUACUGCGAAAGCAUUUGCCAAGGAUGUUUUCAUUAAUCAAGAACGAAAGUUAGGGGAUCGAAGACGAUCAGAUACCGUCGUAGUCUUAACCAUAAACUAUGCCGACUAGGGAUCGGAUGAUGUUAUUUUUAAUGACUCAUUCGGCGUCCG